Molecule: small nucleolar RNA, 93 nt
Filed under: Ipomoea nil (Japanese morning glory)
Lineage: Eukaryota; Viridiplantae; Streptophyta; Magnoliopsida; Solanales; Convolvulaceae
Source: RNAcentral
GAGAUGCAAUGAGGAUAAGAAAUCAGCUUUUAACGCCAGUUCUGCUUCUGAAUAUCAUUGAUUGAAAGAGCUGUUUAUUUUUCUGAGCAUCAU